Molecule: long non-coding RNA, 1037 nt
Filed under: Gossypium barbadense (sea-island cotton)
Lineage: Eukaryota; Viridiplantae; Streptophyta; Magnoliopsida; Malvales; Malvaceae
Description: long non-coding RNA (GBAR_LNC023152)
Source: RNAcentral
AUUAAUAUUAAGAAUUAAGAUACGUAAAAAAAAUAGUAACUUACUGAUUUGGGAAUGAGAGUCAAUUAAAUUAACUCCUCUCAAGAAAAGAGUCUUCAAUGAUGAGAAUAAAUCUAAUGAUUGUAGUUGAAGAUUGCAACCUGAGCCUAUCAAAUAGUAUAUUUAUAUUUACUUUAUUUCUUUGGAAUAUAUCAAAUUAAUCAAACUAACAAGUAAUUAGUACAUUUAAAUUAAAUUUGGAAUUAGUACCAAUAUUUGAAUCGCAGCUCAUAUGGAGGUCCUCCAAAUUGCUCAAGCCAUCUAAUUCUGAGGAGAAUCAAAAAUUGAAAAGUAAAUACUUUAUUAAUAUAUGUAGACGUCAUUGAAUAAGGAGAAAGAGGAUGAUAUUCAACAGUUUUGUAUAAGAAAUAUUAUUUUACAAUAAUUAAAAAUAUAAUAUUAAAAAAAUAACUAAAAAUUAAAUGUCUAAAAUCACAUUCAACAUAUGUGCCGUUAGAAACCAGUAUUUAUGUAAAUUAAUAUUAAGAAUUAAGAUACGUAAAAAAAAUAGUAACUUACUGAUUUGAGAAUGAGAAUCAAUUAAAUUAACUCCGUCCAAGGAAAGAGUCUUCAAUGAUGAGAAUAAAUCCAAUGAUUGUAGUUGAAGAUUGCAACCUGAGCCUAUCAAAUAGUAUACUUAUAUUUACUUUAUUUCUUUGGAAUAUAUCAAAUUAAUCAAACUAACAAGUAAUUAGUACAUUUAAAUUAAAUUUGGAAUUAGCCACAAUUUUAUUUUAGUAGUACCAAUUGAAUCGCAGCUCAUAUCGAGGUCCUCCAAAUUGCUCAAGCCAUCUAAUUAUGAGGAGAAUCAAAAAUUGAAAAGUAAAUACUUUAUUAAUAUAUGUAGACGUCAUUGAAUAAGGAGAAAGAGGAUGAUAAUUUUACCUUUAAUAUCUAUUGUUCCUUCCAAAUUGGAGCCUCCUAAAGACAAAGUCUUUAGAUUUGAGAGUGUUCCGAGAGAUGACAAUAUGGUAUUGUUGAAGAGAUUGCCAUACAAA